RNA transcript from Argentina anserina (silverweed cinquefoil), 1125 nucleotides. RefSeq lists it as uncharacterized. The record is from RefSeq and is a predicted model, not a curated record. NCBI's taxonomy places the organism in Eukaryota, Viridiplantae, Streptophyta, Magnoliopsida, Rosales, Rosaceae. The transcript has 10 exons.
GAAACACAACCUUUGAAGAUUCUUUGAUUCUGGGUGUUUCGACAAAGGACUCCCAACAUGAAGCUGAAGCAGCUCGAAAGCCUCCUAGGUAGUCUCCAACAGUUCCCAAACCCAAAGGUGGAGCUGGAACAAUACCCAACCGGAGCCCACAUUGCAGCUCGCAUGCUUUACACUGCAGAGAAUUCAUUUGGGGAUGUGUGUGACAAGGUUGUGGCGGAUUUUGGCUGUGGUUGUGGUACAUUGGGGGUGGCAGCUGGACUCUUGGGUGCAGAACAUGUGAUUGGCAUUGACGUUGAUCCAGAAUCUCUUGAAUUAGCUUCACUAAAUGCUGAGGAACUUGAGUUGGACAUAGAUUAUAUUCAAUGCAACAUCAAGAGCUUAGGAUGGAGAGCUGAAGUUGUUGAUACCGUUAUAAUGAAUCCUCCAUUUGGAACUCGGCAAAAGGGUGCUGACAUGGAUUUUCUCUCUGUGGCUCUGAAGGUUGCUUCUCAAGCUGUUUAUUCCUUACAUAAAACCUCCACAAGAGAUCAUGUGAAAAGGGCAGCCUUGCAGCAGUUCAAUGCUACCAGUGCUGAGGUUAUAUGUCAGCUUCGAUAUGAUUUACCUCAAACAUACAAGUUUCAUAAGAAACGAGAUGUGGAUAUAGCUGUGGACUUGUGGCGAUUUGUUCCCAAGAGUAAGCAUGGUCCGUAGAUUAAGCACAUGCAUGGUGUAUUAUGGGUGAAAAAUAUACACUGAAUGUUAAGGGAUCACCCCGGAACUUUUACAGUUGUGAUUAAAUGAAACGAAGAUAAAAAUUGAUGCCUUUCCCCGCUUAAGUCAAGACCUAUUCGCUGCAAGAAGCUCAAAUUGAGGCCUUGGAGAAGAUUACUGUGAAUGUGGGGGUUCAUAUGCAGACCAAGCAAAAAUUUGUCUUCCACUCUACAUUGGAGUUUGAUCAUCUAGUUAGUUAAUAUGAGAUUUGAUCAAGUCCCCUACUAAUUAAUAUGUUUAUUUAUACGGAAUGAGGUCAGCACAAAAUAAAUAUAUCCUUUUCCUAGCUGAAGUGGAGAAACUCUCCGUUGGAAUUUAGGAUUCCAGCCAAGAGCUUAUGAAUAUAUGUACAGAAGGAUUUGUUUAGCUAGA